This 255-nucleotide ribosomal RNA is filed under the name uncultured bacterium. RNAcentral describes it as "partial small subunit ribosomal RNA". It matches the Rfam family "Bacterial small subunit ribosomal RNA", at positions 26 to 285 of the family's 1533-position model. The record is from RNAcentral.
AGGACGAACGCUGGCGGCGUGCUUAACACAUGCAAGUCGAGCGGAAAGGCCCCUCGGGGUACUCGAGCGGCGAACGGGUGAGUAACACGUGAGCAACCUGCCCUUAGCUCUGGGAUAGCUCCGGGAAACCGGAAUUAAUACCGGAUAUUACACCGGCUGGCAUCGGCUGGUGUGGAAAGAUUUAUCGGCUAAGGAUGGACUCGCGGCCUAUCAGCUUGUUGGUGGGGUAGUGGCCUACCAAGGCGACGACGGGUA